RNAcentral lists this ribosomal RNA (468 nucleotides) under uncultured bacterium. RNAcentral's name for it is "partial 16S ribosomal RNA". It matches the Rfam family "Bacterial small subunit ribosomal RNA", at positions 28 to 507 of the family's 1533-position model. The record is from RNAcentral.
GACGAACGCUGGCGGUGUGCUUAACACAUGCAAGUCGAACGGUAAGGCCCUCUCGGGGGUACACGAGUGGCGAACGGGUGAGUAACACGUGAGUAACCUGCCCUCAUCUCUGGGAUAACAGUCGGAAACGGUUGCUAAUACUGGAUAUGAGCUUGCAAGGCAUCUUGUGGGUUGGAAAGAUUUUUUUUGGUUGGGGAUGGACUCGCGGCCUAUCAGCUUGUUGGUGAGGUAGUGGCUCACCAAGGCUUCGACGGGUAGCCGGCCUGAGAGGGCGACCGGCCACAUUGGGACUGAGAUACGGCCCAAACUCCUACGGGAGGCAGCAGUGGGGAAUAUUGCACAAUGGACGGAAGUCUGAUGCAGCAACGCCGCGUGCGGGAUGACGGCCUUCGGGUUGUAAACCGCUUUCAAUUGUGACGAAGCUUUUUUGUGACGGUAGCAGUAGAAGAAGCACCGGCUAACUACGUG